GCGAUGGUGGUAUAGUGGUAAGCAUAGCUGCCUUCCAAGCAGUUUUGACCCGGGUUCGAUUCCCGGCCAUCGCA
Molecule: non-coding RNA, 74 nt
Organism: Gymnodraco acuticeps
Lineage: Eukaryota; Metazoa; Chordata; Actinopteri; Perciformes; Bathydraconidae
Source: the annotation of a RefSeq genome assembly